Molecule: non-coding RNA, 1844 nt
Organism: Piliocolobus tephrosceles (Ugandan red Colobus)
Lineage: Eukaryota; Metazoa; Chordata; Mammalia; Primates; Cercopithecidae
Source: the annotation of a RefSeq genome assembly
GGGAAAAUAAGUGUGCCUGGGUCUCCUGCCAAGAAAGCCCUGGAGCAGCCUGGGGGGCUCAGGAGGACGCCCCGAGGCAACAGCGGCCACACAGACAAGGGGCAAGGGCUCCGGGUCUCCAGACGCUCCCUCCUCCUGCGCCCAGCAGCAGGGGUCUCCCUGUGGUCAGGGCACCCUGGGCCUCUGGGGUCCCAUGGCCCAAGAACCCCCGGGCCCUCCAUGGGCUCCGUCUGAGAGGGUCCCAGGGACUUAGUGGGUGCCAGUUCUUGCCUGGGGUCCUGGCAUUGUUGUCACAAUGUGACAACUGGUUCGAUGUCUGGGGCCAGGGAACCCUGGUCACCGUCUCCUCAGGGAGUGCAUCAGCCCCAACCCUCUUCCCCCUCGUCUCCUGUGAGAAUGCCCAGCUGGAUACGAACAAAGUGGCCGUUGGCUGCCUCGCACAGGACUUCCUUCCCAACUCCAUCACUUUCUCCUGGAAAUUCAAGAACAACUCUGACAUCAGCAAUGGCAUCUGGGGCUUCCCAUCAGUCCGGAGAGGGGACAAGUACGCGGCCACCUCGCAGGUGCUGCUGGCUUCCAAGGACAUCAUGCAGGGCACAGACGAACACGUGGUGUGCAAAGUCCAGCACCCCAACGGCAACAAAGAAAAGAACGUGCCUCUUCCAGUGUUUCCCGAGCGGCCUCCCAACGUGAGUGUCUUCGUCCCACCCCGCGACGGCUUCGUCGGCAACCCCCGCAAGUCCAGGCUCAUCUGCCAGGCCACAGGUUUCAGCCCCCGGCAGGUUGAGGUGUCCUGGCUGCGCGACGGGAAGCAGGUGGGGUCUGGCAUCACCACGGACCAGGUGGAGGCUGAAGCCAAAGAGUCUGGGCCCACGACCUUCAAGGUGACCAGCACACUGACCAUCAGCGAGAACGACUGGUUCAGCCAGAAGGUGUUCACCUGCCGCGUGGAUCACAGGGGCCUGACCUUCCAGAAGAAUGUGUCCUCCCUGUGUGAAAUCAAUCCAGACAUACCCAUCCGGGUCUUCGCCAUCCCCCCAUCCUUUGCCAGCAUCUUCUUCACCAAGUCCACCAAGUUGACCUGCCUGGUCACAGACCUGGCCACCUACGACAGUGUGACCAUCUCCUGGACCCGCCAGAAUGGCGAAGCUCUGAAAACCCACACCAACAUCUCCGAGAGCCACCCCAAUGGGACCUUCAGCGCCGUGGGUGAGGCCAGCAUCUGCGAGGACGACUGGAACUCCGGGGAGAGCUUCAGCUGCACCGUGACCCACAUGGACCUGCCCUCGCCGCUGAAGCAGACCAUCUCCAGGCCCAAGGGCGUGGCCAUGCACAGGCCCGAGGUCUACUUGCUGCCACCAGCCCGGGAGCAGCUGAACCUGCGGGAGUUGGCCACCAUCACCUGCCUGGUGACGGGCUUCUCUCCCGCGGACAUCUUCGUGCAGUGGAUGCAGAGGGGACAGACUUUGCCCCCGGAGAAGUAUGUGACCAGUGCCCCAAUGCCUGAGCCCCAGGCCCCAGGCCGGUACUUCGCCCACAGCAUCCUGACCGUGUCUGAAGAUGACUGGAACACGGGGGAGACCUAUACCUGCGUCGUGGCCCAUGAGGCCCUGCCCAACAGGGUCACCGAGAGGACCGUGGACAAGUCCACCGGUAAACCCACCCUGUACAACGUGUCCCUCGUCAUGUCCGACACAGCCGGCACCUGCUACUGACCCUGCUGGCCUGCCCACAGGCUCAGGGCGGCCGGCCGCUCUGUGUGCGCGCGCGCAAACUAACCGUGUCAACGGGGUGAGAUGUUGCAUCUUAUAAAAUUAGAAAUAAAAAGAUCCAUUCAAAAGAUA